This 461-nucleotide ribosomal RNA is filed under the name uncultured bacterium. RNAcentral's name for it is "bacterial SSU rRNA". It matches the Rfam family "Bacterial small subunit ribosomal RNA", at positions 28 to 450 of the family's 1533-position model. The record is from RNAcentral.
GAUGAACGCUGGCGGCGUGCCUAAUACAUGCAAGUCGAACGCAUUGUGGUUGAAAUGAUAUGAAGAACUUGUUCAGAUUUGAUUUUCAACAUUGCAAUGAGUGGCGAACGGGUGAGUAACACGUGGGAAACCUACCUCUUAGCAGGGGAUAACAUUUGGAAACAAAUGCUAAUACCGUAUAAUAAUUAAAACCGCAUGGUUUUAGUUUAAAAGAUGGUCUUGCUAUCACUAAGAGAUGGUCCCGCGGUGUAUUAGUUAGUUGGUGAGGUAAUGGCUCACCAAGACAAUGAUACAUAGCCGAGUUGAGAGACUGACCGGCCACAAUGGGACUGAGACACGGCCCAUACUCCUACGGGAGCAGCAGUAGGGAAUCUUCCACAAUGGACGAAAGUCUGAUGGAGCAACGCCGCGUGUGUGAUGAAGGGCUUCGGCUCGUAAAACACUAGUUGUAAGAGAAGAAU